GGGGAUAUAACUCAGCCAGUAGAGUGUUUGCCUGGCAUGCACAGGGCACUGGGUUCAAUCCCCAGUACUGCCA
RNAcentral lists this transfer RNA (73 nucleotides) under Ictidomys tridecemlineatus (thirteen-lined ground squirrel). RNAcentral describes it as "Spermophilus tridecemlineatus (thirteen-lined ground squirrel) tRNA". It matches the Rfam family "tRNA". From Rfam's summary of the family: Transfer RNA (tRNA) molecules are approximately 80 nucleotides in length. Their secondary structure includes four short double-helical elements and three loops (D, anti-codon, and T loops). Lineage: Eukaryota; Metazoa; Chordata; Mammalia; Rodentia; Sciuridae. The record is from Rfam by way of RNAcentral.